UAUCAGAACUGUAGGGACGCAUGUGGAAAGCACGGGCCGGGAAUGGAAAGACCGGUACAAGCGGGGUAGGUGUACAAUAGGCAAAUCCGUUGUAUAAUCCGAAGACGUGAUGUGGAGCGAAAUAAAGUAGUGAAGCGUGUGAGCCAUGUGCCGAGAAAAGCUGCUAUUGUGUAAUGCGUGCCCGUACCGUAAACCGACACAGGUGGAUGAGGAGAGAAUCCUAAGGCCGGCGGAAGAAGCAUUGUUAAGGAAUUCGGCAAAAUGACCCCGUAACUUCGGGAGAAGGGGUGCCUGCGAGAGCAGGCCGCAGAGAAUAGGCUCAAGCAACUGUUUAGCAAAAACACAGGUCUAUGCGAAACCGAAAGGUGAAGUAUAUGGGCUGACGCCUGCCCGGUGCUGGAAGGUUAAGAGGAGAGGUUAGCUUCGGCGAAGCUUUGAAUUUAAGCCCCAGUAAACGGCGGCCGUAACAAUAACGGUCCUAAGGUAGCGAAAUUCCUUGUCGGGUAAGUUCCGACCCGCACGAAAGGCGUAAUGAUUUGAGCACUGUCUCGACAAUGCAUCCGGUGAAAUUGAAGUACCAGUGAAGAUGCUGGUUACCCGCGCCAGGACGGAAAGACCCCAUGGAGCUUUACUCCAGUUUGAUACUGGGAUUCGGUACUGCAUGUACAGGAUAGGUGGGAGACGAAGAAGGAUGGACGCCAGUCUGUCCGGAGUCGCUGUUGGGAUACCACCCCUGUAGUACUGGGUUUCUAACCAGUUGCCAUGAACUGGCAAUGGGACAAUGUCAGGCGGGGAGUUUGACUGGGGCGGUCGCCUCCGAAAGGGUAUCGGAGGCGCUCAAAGGUUCCCUCAGAAUGGUUGGAAACCAUUUGAAGAGUGCAAAGGCAGAAGGGAGCUUGACUGCGACACCGACGGGUGGAGCAGGUACGAAAGUAGGACUUAGUGAUCCGGUGGUAUAAAGUGGGAUUGCCAUCGCUCAACGGAUAAAAGCUACCCUGGGAUAACAGGCUUAUCACUCCCAAGAGUUCACAUCGACGGAGUGGUUUGGCACCUCGAUGUCGGCUCAUCGCAUCCUGGGGCUGUAGCAGGUCCCAAGGGUUGGGCUGUUCGCCCAUUAAAGCGGUACGCGAGCUGGGUUCAGAACGUCGUGAGACAGUUCGGUCCCUAUCCGGCGCGGGCGGAGGAUAUUUGAGAGGAGCUGUCCUUAGUACGAGAGGACCGGGAUGGACGGACCACUGGUGUAUCUGUUGUCGACCAACGGCAUGGCAGAGUAGCCAAGUCUGGAAGGGAUAAACGCUGAAGGCAUCUAAGCGUGAAGCCCCCCUCAAGAUGAGAUAUCCCUCCUUCGGGAGUAAGACCCCUUGAAGACUACAAGGUAGAUAGGGCAGAGGUGGAAGCAUGGCAACAUGUGGAGCUGACUGUUACUAAUAGGUCGAGGGCUUAAUU
Molecule: ribosomal RNA, 1446 nt
Filed under: metagenome
Description: bacterial LSU rRNA
Rfam family: Bacterial large subunit ribosomal RNA
Source: RNAcentral